This 377-nucleotide ribosomal RNA is filed under the name uncultured eukaryote. RNAcentral describes it as "partial 18S ribosomal RNA". It matches the Rfam family "Eukaryotic small subunit ribosomal RNA", at positions 592 to 976 of the family's 1831-position model. The record is from RNAcentral.
CAAUAGCGUAUAUUUAAGUUGCUGCAGUUAAAAAGCUCGUAGUUGGAUUUCGGGUGGGAAUGGCCGGUCCGCUGUUUCGGUGUGCACUUGCUACGCCCACCUUGCUGCCGGGGACGUGCUCUUGAGUUCACGCUCGGGACACGGAGUCGGCGAGGUUACUUUGAGUAAAUUAGAGUGUUCAAAGCAGGCCUACGCUCUGAAUACAUUAGCAUGGAAUAACACGAUAGGACUCUGGCCUAUCUUGUUGGUCUGUAGGACCGGAGUAAUGAUUAAGAGGGACAGUCGGGGGCAUUCGUAUUUCAUUGUCAGAGGUGAAAUUCUUGGAUUUAUGAAAGACGAACUACUGCGAAAGCAUUUGCCAAGGAUGUUUUCAUUAA